UGGAGUAGACGGACGCCAAACUCAAUUAACUGAAGGGCGGUGGACGCUGGUUCUUCAAAUUCACUCACGCCGGCGAGAAAAGGAUAUACAAAACGAUGCCUGAGAAUACCAGAGAUAACAUAAUAGAGAGAGAUGCGGAGAAGAGAUGAUGCAAGGACUCAAUCACCACCACCAUCAACAGCUCGCGGCGCUUCUCGCGGCGGCGCUCCCUAAGGAUGACUCUUCAAAAUCAACUUCAACUUUGUCACCUUCCCCCACCACAUCCGCCACCUCCCCCGCCGCACAGUCGUCUGAGGAAGAAGAAUCUUCUCGACUCACCGCCAUCACUUCUCUUCACCGUGCCAUUCUAUACCCUCCUAACUCGCUUCUGGUCGCCCACUCCGCCUCUUUUCUCGUUCAAGGCUUCUCUCAACUCCUCUCUGACAAAUCAUAUUCAGUGCGGCAGGCUGCAACCACAGCAUAUGGGGCUUUGUGUUCUGUAUUGUGUUCGGUUCCUGUAGCCUCAAAUGGAAGGCAGAAUCAUGUUAUUCUCAACAGUUUCAUUGAUCGAUUCAUUGGUUGGGCAUUGUCUUCCCUUAGCAAUAUAAGUGAUGGAACUGCAGAACUAGCAUUGGAUGGCCUUCAUGAGUUUCUUAGUGUUGGUGACGUUGGAAUGCUUGAAAGAUAUGCAUUGCCAAUUCUCAAAGCUUGCCAAGAACUUCUUGAGGAUGAGAGAACCUCCAUGAGUUUACUGAACAGGCUUCUUGGUGUGCUGACACUGAUUUCAUUGAAGUUUUUCAGAUGCUUCCAGCCGCAUUUUGUGGACAUUGUUGAUUUGCUUCUGGGGUGGGCAAUGGUACCAGAUAUUAGAGAAUCUGAUAGGCGCGUCAUUAUAGAUAGUUUCUUGCAAUUUCAGAAACACUGGGUGAAUAAUAUGCAAUUUUCUUUGGGGCUGCUGUCAAAAUUUUUGGGUGACUUGGAUGUACUGCUUGUGGAUGUGAGCCCUGGUACUCCACAACAGUUUAAAAGAUUACUGGCAUUGCUGUCUUGUUUUUGUACAGUUUUGCAGUCCGUGGCUUCUGGUUUGCUAGAAAUAAAUUUGCUUGAACAAAUAAUUGAACCCCUUUCCAAGAUGGUACCUGUUUUGCUAGGAUGCCUGUCUAUGGUUGGGAAGAAAUUUGGUUGGUCAAAAUGGAUAGAUGAUUCUUGGAGAUGCUUGACUUUGUUGGCAGAGAUUUUAAGUGAUGGAUUUUCUACCUUUUACCCUAAUGCAGUUGAUCUGUUGUUCCAAAGCUUGCAAAUGGAAGUUGCAAACCAACUACAGGGGACAAAGAAUAUUAAUUCCUUCCUGGUUCAUGGUGUUCUCAAAACUAACCUUCAAAUGCUAUCACUGCAAAAGCUUGGCCUUCUACCAUCAUCAGUACAAAAAGUAUUGCGAUUUGAUGGGCCCGUAUCUCAGCUGCGUCUGCACCCAAAUCACUUAGUGACUGGAAGUGCUGCUGCUACGUAUAUCUUUUUACUUCAACAUGAAAAAAUGGAUGUAGUUGAAAAUGCAAUUGAUUCCUUAAUUGAAGAGCUGCAGUUAUUGAAGCGAAUGCUUGGAAAAAAAUUAGAGGAUGAGCUUGAUACAUUUAUAACUCCUGAAUCUUAUUCAAAAAGUGAGUUGGUUGCGAUGGUCAAAUUUGAUUUGAAAGUACUGUUAAGCUGUAUUGCUUUGGGUGGAGGUGGUAGGUUAAUUGGAAGAGCAAAAAUUGACACUCUUUAUGUUUGUAGGGCAGAAAAAUUAGCAACUUUUAUUAUUGAAAUGUUGGAUCCAUUUCACCUACCCAUCAAAAGUUUUGUAGAUUUGCAAGUUAAUGUUUUAAAAACAUUGGAAACACUUACCAUGGUUGAGUUUCUGAGCAAGCGCUCCAUAAAGGAACAGGAUAGUGAGAGAGGUUCCCUGCAGGUAGCAUCCCAAAAACAUGCAGAGGGUGAAAAUGAGGGAGAUGUACUUGCAGCGGUUGUUUUUGGACAUUUGAGGAGGUACACUUCUCUACUUGUCAAAGCUCUCGACAUUUCUUCUCCUCUGGGAGUCAAAAUAGCAGCCCUAGAAUGGAUAAAUAAAUUCUGUGAAAAUGUUAUUAACACAUAUAAAAAUAUAAGUACAUCGUUUUACCCUUGUCAAGCAUUUGGAUGCAUCAAAAUCAUCCAGGAUUUGUUGUACUCGACUUUGGCUGCUGCAUCAGAUAGGGAACCAAGAGUGAGGUCUCAUGUGGCAUCAGUUCUUGAUAUGCUUCUGCAAGCAAAAGUUAUCCAUCCAAUGCAUUUUUCCAUUAUUGCAGAAACGAUCCUCGAAAAGCUCGGGGAUCCGGAUAAUAACAUAAAGAAUGUGUAUCUGAAGUUGCUUUCACAUGUGCUGCCUAUUACAACAUACACAUGUGGUCUUUGUGAUUAUGGAGCAGCAAUGACACCUGGGCUGCAAAUUCUUACAUUUGCCGACAGGUCUAAUUUGCACUGGAAGCAAGUUUUUGCCCUAAAGCAAUUGCCUCAGCAACUUCACUCUCAGCAACUUGUUUCCAUAUUGAGUUAUAUUUCACAGAGAUGGAAAGCACCUCUUUCUUCUUGGAUCCAGCGGCUCAUUCAUACUUGCCGGAGCAAAAGGGACCUUGCAUUUACUUGGUAUGAGGAAACAAAAAAUGCCGAUGCAAUUGUUUUAUGGUUGGACGCUGGAGUGGAGGAAGAUACUCUUGAAAGGAUUUGCUCAGUUAAUAUCGUUGCUGGUGCAUGGUGGGCUAUACAUGAAGCAGCUAGGUUUUGUAUUAAUACACGACUUCGGACUAACCUUGGUGGGCCAACACAAACUUUUGCUGCACUGGAGCGCAUGCUUGUUGACAUUGCUCAUGUGUUACAGUUGAAUGAAGACCAAAAUGAUGGAAAUUUAAAUGUCAUAGGUUCUUAUGCUCACUUAUUGCCAAUGAGAUUAUUACUGGAAUUUGUCGAGGCCCUGAAGAAAAAUGUGUAUAAUGCAUAUGAAGGAUCAACUGUAUUACAGUGUGCUUCCCGGCAAAGCUCUUUAUUUUUUCGGGCAAAUAAAAGAGUAUGUGAAGAGUGGUUUUCUCGAAUAUGUGACCCAAUGAUGAAUGCUGGAUUGGCACUUCAGUCUCAUGAUGCUACGAUUCAUUACUGCACCUCACGCCUGCAGGAUCUCAGGAACCUUGUGGCUUCAGCACUGACGGAGAAGUCAAGAGUCCAUCCGACAGAAAAUCUCCAUAACAUCAGAGGAAGAUAUGCUGGAGAUAUAUUGAGGGUCUUGCAACACAUGGCUUUGGCUUUGUGUAAGAAUUAUGAACCAGAGGCAUUAGUUGGUUUAGAGAAAUGGGCAACCAUGGCCUUCUCUCCCUUGUUUACAGAGGAAAACCCAAGUCCAAGUGAUGGCAAGAACUCAGGAUUUUUUGCCUGGAUUUCUGGGCUUGUAUAUCAGGCAAGAGGCCAGCACGAGAAAGCUGCUGCUCACUUUAUUCAUUUGUUACAGACUGAAGAAUCACUUACGUCUAUGGGUUCUGAUGGCGUCCAGUUUGCCAUUGCUCGUAUUAUCGAGAAUUAUACAGCUGUUUCUGAUUGGAAGUCUUUGGAAUCCUGGCUAUUAGAGUUGCAAAUAAUUCGUGCAAAGCACGCUGGAAAGAGUUACACCGGUGCUCUUACCACUGCUGGGAAUGAAAUAAAUUCAAUUCAAGCCUUGGCUCGCUUUGAUGAGGGUGAGUACCAGGCCGCAUGGGCAUGCCUCGAUUUGACUCCUAAAAGUAGCAAUGAACCCACACUUGAUCCGAAGCUGGCAUUGCAGAGGAGUGAGCAAAUGCUUUUGCAGGCCUUGCUUCUUCAAAAGGAGGGAAAGGUGGACAAGAUGCCCUAUGAGUUGCAGAAGGCUAAGUUAAUGCUGGAGGAGACAUUGUCUGUGUUGCCACUUGAUGGCUUGGUGGAGGCAGCAGCACAUGUCAAUCAGUUACACUGCAUCUCUGAAUUAGAGGGAAGUUGCGAACUUCGAAGCAGCAACAGUGAGCCCUCUCAGUCAUUAUUAAGUUCAUAUAUCCAAACAGGCAAGUUCGGAUGUAACCGAGUACAUCAGGAUUGCAAUCUGUGGCUAAAAGUUAUGCGAGUUCGUCAAAACACACUCCCAACUGCACUAGGGACUCUUGAACUUUGUAAGAAUUUAUCGAGCUUAGCCCGCAAGCAAAGCAAUCUUAUGUUGGCAAAUCGUCUGAACAACUAUCUCAAAGUUCAUGUCUCAAGUUGUUCUGAUGAAAGUUCUCGUGAUUAUAUGAUUUCUAGUUUGCAUUACGAGAACAUUCUUUUCAUGCAUUCUGAAAACAAGCUUGAAGAUGCAUUGGUGAAUCUUUGGUCAUUUGUGCAUCCUUAUAUAGAUAAUUCUUCGGUGGAAAGGUCCAACUCUCGGGACAGUUUUCUAAAGGCCAAGGCUUGCUUGAAACUGGCAAAUUGGUUGCGGGGAGACUGUUCUGGUAAAAAGUUUGAGGAUGUUGUUGUUAAGAUGCUAACAGACUUCAAUUUUACCGAUGAUUCUACAGUCAAAGAGGCACUUUCCUUUUGUGAAGGUAAUCUAAGCUCAGGUGUAAAUCUUAUAGUUGAUGAACUUGUAGGUACUCUAAAAAAGAUGUCUGCUCGUCUUUGCCCCAUGAUGGGGAAGUCAUGGAUUUCAUACGCCUCUUGGUGUUAUGCUCAAGCUGUAGCAUCCGUCUCCUCAAAUCAUGAGUCCGCCCAGCAUUCUUGCUCCCGUUCUCCCGUUCCUGCUAUUGAAAUACAGCAAAAUAGAUUUAGAUUAACUGAAGAAGAGCAGUUGCAUAUUAAGGACAUCAUUAAUAAGCUUGUUCAAGAAGGAUCUGACUUGAAAGAGAGAAAUGAAGACGCAGGAACUUGUAAUCUUUCUGGAUAUGCUGAAAUUAAGAAAGAUCUGAAGCCUUUAUUGCAUCAAAUAGUAGAUGUUAUUGAGUCUACGGCUGGAGCACCUGGAAUCCUGGACUGCAGUGGCAUUAGCUUGUCUGCUACGCUAUCUUCUCAGUUACACAAAUGCUUAGUGUCUAAUAAUGUUUCCCUGGAUGAAGCUGGAGUACUAUCUAUGGUAAAUGACUUGGUUGAGGUUUGGCAGUCUUUUAGGAGGAGAAGGGUUUCUCUCUUUGGUCAUGCAGCUCAAGCUUUCAUUAAUUAUCUUUCACAUUCCUCUCUGAAUAUUACUGAUGGUCAAUUAACUGGCUGUGAUGUUGACUCCCAGUAUAAAUCUGCGAGUUACACCCUGAGGGCCACACUCUAUGUCCUUCACAUUCUGCUCAACUAUGGGGUUGAGUUAAAAGAUACACUUGAACCAGGUCUUUCUAUAGUUCCUUUACUACCCUGGCAGGAGAUAAUUCCUCAACUGUUUGCUCGAUUGAGUGCUCACCCUGAACAGGUGGUUAGGAAGCAGUUGGAGAAUUUGCUAGUCAUGCUGGCAAAGCUAUUUCCAUGGUCUAUAGUCUACCCCACCCUUGUCGAUGCAAAUGCUUAUGGAAAGAAAUCUUCUGAAGAGAUUCUGACAAUUCUGGCUUAUUUGAAUAAGCUUUAUCCAAGGUUAGUACAAGAUGCUCAGCUGAUUAUUAGAGAGCUUGAAAAUGUAACUGUACUUUGGGAGGAAUUGUGGCUGAGCACACUUCAAGAUCUUCAUGCAGAUGUUAUGAGGCGCAUAAAUUUGUUGAAAGAGGAGGCUGCACGAAUUGCAGAGAGUACAACUCUUAGUCCCGGAGAGAAAAUCAAGAUAAAUGCUGCAAAAUACUCUGCUAUGAUGGCUCCCAUCAUUGUAGUCUUAGAGCGUCGUUUAGCUUCUACUUCUCGGAAGCCUGAAACACCUCAUGAGAUGUGGUUCUUUGAGGAGUACCAGGAACAAAUCAAAACUGCUGUCACAAAAUUCAAGACUCCUCCUGCAUCAGCUGUGAUGCUAGGGGAUGUGUGGCGACCAUUUGAGAAUGUUGCUGCUUCCUUGGCAUCUCAUCAAAGGAAGUCAUCAAUAUCUUUAGGAGAAGUUGCCCCUCAUUUGGCUUGGAUGUCAUCAUCCGAUGCUCCAAUGCCAGGUCUUGAGAAGCAAAUUACAAUGUCUGAAUCAGAAAGAGACUUAAAUAGUGCUCCCCAGGAAAUUGUGACAAUUGCUUCUUUCUCUGAACAAGUAGUGAUUUUAUCAACCAAGACCAAACCCAAAAAACUUGUUCUAAUGGGCUCUGAUGGUCAGAAGUAUACAUAUCUCUUGAAAGGACGAGAGGACUUGCGUCUUGAUGCCAGGAUUAUGCAGCUAUUGCAAGCUGUAAAUGGUUUUCUGCAUUCAUCAUCUGCUACUCGUAGUCGGUCACUCGGCAUUCGUCAUUACUCUGUGACACCAAUUAGCGGACGAGCUGGCCUGAUCCGAUGGGUGGAUAAUGUCAUUAGCAUUUAUAGUGUGUUUAAAUCAUGGCAGAACCGAGUCCAGUUAGCACAGAUUUCUGCAUUGAGUGCUGAUACAAAAAAUAUGGUUCCUCCACCUGUGCCUCGGCCCAGUGACAUGUUUUAUGGUAAAAUCAUUCCUGCGCUCAAAGAGAAAGGCAUUAGAAGAGUAAUAUCGAGAAGGGACUGGCCUCAUGAUGUCAAGCGAAAAGUACUUUUGGAUCUUAUGGAGGAAGCUCCUAAGCAACUUCUUCAUCAGGAGCUUUGGUGCGCAAGUGAAGGUUUCAAAGCCUUCAGCUCAAAAUUGAAAAGGUAUUCUGGAAGUCUGGCAGCCAUGAGUAUUGUUGGUCAUAUUCUGGGUCUAGGUGAUAGACAUUUGGAUAAUAUCCUCAUAGAUUUUUGUAGUGGGGAUAUUGUGCAUAUUGAUUACAAUGUGUGCUUUGACAAAGGACAUAGGUUAAAGAUUCCUGAAAUUGUACCCUUCCGCCUUACCCAGACAAUUGAAGCUGCAUUAGGGUUGACUGGUGUGGAAGGUACCUUUAGGGCAAAUUGUGAAGCUGUUUUAGGUGUUCUGAAGAAGAAUAAGGAUAUUGUCUUGAUGUUGCUAGAGGUUUUUGUUUGGGACCCACUUGUGGAAUGGACACGUGCGAACUUUCAUGAUGAUGCGGCUAUUGUUGGUGAAGAAAGAAAGGGCAUGGAGCUUGCUGUUAGCUUAAGUCUAUUUGCAUCUCGUGUCCAAGAAAUUCGUGUUCCGUUGCAGGAACAUCAUGAUCUCUUACUGGCUACCUUACCAGCUGUUGAGUCAACCCUUGAGAGGUUUGCUGACAUUCUGAAUCAAUAUGAGGUUGUCUCCAGUCUAUUUUAUCACGCAGACCAAGAGAGAUCUAACCUCCUUUUGCAUAAGACAUCUGCGAAUUCAAUUGUUGCCGAAGCAACUUGUAAUUCAGAGAAAAGUCGUGCCUUGUUUGAACUGCAGGCUCGAGAAUUCAGUCAAGCACAGGCUAUGAUAGUGGAGAAAGGGCAAGAAGCUUCAACUUGGAUUGAGCAGCAAGGAAGGAUUUUAGAUGCUUUAAGUAGUAGUUCAAUUCCUGAAAUUAAAGCAUGUAUAAAGCUGACUGGUUCAGAAGAAGCUCUGUCACUCACGUUUGCAGUUCUAGUGGCUGGGGUUCCAUUGACUGUUGUUCCUGAACCGACACAAGUUCAGUGCCACGACAUUGAUAGGGAAGUUUCUCAUUUAGUAGCUGAGCUGGAUUCUGGGCUUUCUUCUGCGGUUGCAGCACUCCAAUUGUAUUCAUUGGCUCUGCAGAGGAUCCUUCCAUUAAAUUACAUUAUAACCAGUCCAGUACAUGGUUGGGCACAGAUUUUACUUUCUCUGAAUGCACUCUCAUCAGAUGUUAUAUCAGUUGCUCGGAGGCAGGGAGCUGAGCUCAUCAUGACUGGACACGGGGAUGGAUAUAGUUCUAUUAAGAGCAGUUAUGAUGAUCUUUGUCUUAAGGUAGCAAAGUAUGCAGAAGAUAUAGAGAGAUUGGAAGAAGAGUGUGCUGAACUUGUGAACUCAAUUGGUACAGAUACUGAACUGAAAUCCAAGGAACGUCUUCUAUCUGCUUUCAUGGACUAUGCGCAGCACGCUAGUCUCAAUAGGAGAGACAAUGGCUUGGGUUUGGGACCAGUGACACGUGGAGAACCAUCAGAAUCUGCCUUGCAUGGGGAGAAUGAAGAAAAGAAGGAAAGGGUUCUAAUUGUAUUAGAUACAGCCACGAGCAAUCUGUUCUAUGAUGUUAAGCACCUAGUGAAUAAAGGCCUGAAUCACUUUCCAGGGGAAAGAAAUACGGAUAAAUGGCCUUUAUCUGAUCUUGGAUCCUUUUUCAAUGAGCUUGAAGAACAUAUAGAAAAAUGCGUCCUUGUCACUGAGUUUCUCAAUGAGCUAAAGCAGAGUGUUGGACAGGAUAACUGUGUUGUUGAGGCAGAUGCACAUAGUUUAAAUUAUGCAUCCCAACUGAACUGGGCUUCUUUUUUUAAAACCACUCUUAUUUACUGUAAAAACCUUGUUUGGCAAAUGAUUGAAGUCGUUCUACCUAGUUUGAUAAAAUCUAUAAUUUCAUUUAAUUCAGAAGUUAUGGAUGUUUUUGGAUCAGUGUCCCGAAUUCGGGGAUCGAUAGAUACAGCACUGGAGCAGCUUAUUGAGGUUGAACUAGAGAGGGCUUCUCUGAUUGAACUUGAGCAGAACUACUUUGUGAAAGUUGGUCUUAUCACCGAGCAACAGUUGGCUCUUGAAGAAGCUGCUGUCAAGGGCAGAGACCAUUUAUCUUGGGAAGAGGCCGAGGAACUAGCCUCUCAAGAAGAAGCUUGCAGAGAGCAGCUGGAUAAACUUAAUCAGAUGUGGAGCCAAAAAGACCUGCAAACUUCAUCUCUUUUAAAGAAAGAAACAAGUAUUAAUAGCACUUUGGCCUCUUCUGAACUACAAUUGCAAUCUCUAAUUGCUGCAGAGCCAGAAAGUGAGCCUCAUAUUUUUAGAAGCAAAGCACUCUUGGCAGCACUAGUUCAACCGUUUACUGAGUUGGAAUCUGUUGAUCCAGCACUGACUUCAUUUUCUGGACCUGUUUCAUGCAGCUCAAGUGGAAUUUCUCACCUUGCAGACUUGAUGAGUUCAGGAUGCCCAAUAUCUGAGUAUAUAUGGAAGUUUCCAGGCAUACUAUGCAGUCAUGCCUUUUUUAUUUGGAAAGUCUCUAUUGUUGAUCUAUUGCUUGAUUCCUGCACACAUGACGUUGAUGCAUCUUUUGAUCAAAAUUUAGGAUUUGACCAACUGGUGAAUGUAGUGAAGACAAAGGUUAAAAUUCAACUUCAGGAGUAUAUUGAACAAUACUUGAAAUCUCGUGUUGCUCCAAUUCUGUUGACUAGGUUAGACAGAGAAAUAGAGAUUCUGAGGGAAAAAGCAGAGGCAACAAAGGAUGUAGACUUUGCUCCAUUGAAAACGGAUUUUGGCGCUGUUAAAGAAGUGCAACUUAUGCUUGAAGAGUACUGCAAUGCACAUGAAACUGUCAGGGCAGCAAAAUCAGCAGCUUCCGUCAUGAAGAGGCAGGUGAAUGAACUUAAGGAAGCUCUUCUCAAGACCAGCUUGGAAAUUGUUCAGAUGGAAUGGAUGCACGAUAUCGCAUUGAGCUCCUCACAAAAUUCUAAGUUGAUCUCUCUUAAAAUUCUUGCAGAUGAUGACCUGCUUAAAGUUAUUUUAAACAUUAGCAGACCAAAAUUGCUAGAGAAUAUACAAUCUUCAAUUGCAAAAAUAUCUAAAUCAUUGGAAUGCUUGCAAUCUUGUGAGCAAACUUCUAUCACAGCAGAAGGGCAGCUUGAGAGAGCGAUGAGCUGGGCUUGUGGUGGUCCUAAUUCCAUGUCAAAUAUCUCUGCCAGAAAUUCAGGAAUACCACAUGAAUUUCAUGAUCAUUUGGCAAGGCGGCGACAAUUGUUGCAGGAAGCUCAAGAAAAUGUAUCGGACAUAAUGAAAGUUUGCUCCUCCAUAUUGGAGUUUGAAGCUUCUCGAGAUGGUACUUUUAGGACCUCGGGAGAAGUUUAUCCAUUAAGGACUAGUGCAGAUGCUGGGAUGUGGCAGCAAGCUUACUUGAAUGCAAUAACAAAAUUGGAUGUUACUUAUCACUCCUUUACACGUGCUGAGCAAGAAUGGAAGCUUGCACAAAGCAACAUGGAAGCCGCCUCUAGUGGUUUAGUUUCUGCAACAAAUGAACUUCGCAUGGCUUCUGAUAAAGCAAAGUCCGCAUCAGGUGAUUUGCAAAGUACUCUUCUUGCAAUGAAGGACUCUGCCUAUGAAGCCAGUGUUGCACUAUCGGCUUUCGGGGGAAUUAUUAGAGGCCACAGUGCUUUGACUUCUGAGUGUGGUUCCAUGCUUGAGGAGGUCUUGGCUAUCACAGAAGAUUUGCACGACGUUCACGGUUUGGGAAAAGAGGCUAGCGCAUUACACUUAUCUCUUAUGGAAGAUCUUUCAAAGGCUAAUUCGGUCCUGCUACCUCUUGAGUCUGUAUUAUCAAAUGAUGUUGCUGCUAUGACUGAUGCGAUGACUCGGGAAAAAGAGACAAAAAUGGAGAUAUCCCCCAUUCAUGGACAGGCCAUAAUCCAGUCUUACCGUAUGAGGAUAAAGGAAGCUCUUCAAGUGUUCAAGCCUUUGGUUCCAUCUCUCAUGUUGUCUGUUAAAGGCCUUUUCUCCAUCCUGACUGGGCUAGCAAGGGCUGCGAGUCUUCACGCUGGCAAUCUUCAUAAAGCUUUUGAAGGAUUAGGAGAGAGCCAGGAAGUAAGGUCACAGGAUAUUGAUUCAUCAAAGGCAGAUCUUGCUGGUCAUGACACCGAGUACGAUACUGAGGAGAGUGAGAUUUUCUACAAACCUGAUGGUGAAAAUUAUAUAGACUCAGUUGGUUUAGAUGGGACGCCUUUGCAAGAUAAAGGAUGGAUAUCUCCGCCUGAGAGCAUCAGUGGUUGCAGCGCAGAUUCCGGAGUUACAUCAGCAGAGGCAAGUAUUGCAGAUCACUUGAGUUGUCUAGACUUGAAAGAGCACCUUUCUGGUGACUCUGAUAACAAAGAGAACAGGGAUUUACCACACUACCUUGCAUCUUAUGGAUCUGAUGCACACGGAUCACCACUUGAGGAGACAGACCCAAAAAUCAUGCAGGAAAUCUCCAAUGUGAGUUUUGUCCUUAAAGACGAGGCAUCUUUGUUGAACCAUGACAAGAUCGAGGAUGGAUCUCUUGAAACAUCGUUAAUUAACGCAGAAUCUGGUGUUCGAGCAGUUGGUGGUAGAAAUGCUUAUGCAAUGUCAAUUUUAAGACGUGUAGAGAUGAAACUAGAUGGUCAAGAUAUCAUUGAUAACAGAGAAAUUAGCAUUGCGGAGCAAGUGGAUUUUCUGAUCAGGCAAGCAACAAAUAUAGACAAUCUUUGCAAUAUGUAUGAAGGUUGGACUCCUUGGAUUUGAGCUUCAAGAGACAAUUAUUCUGCAAACACAACUAUAAAAUCCGAGCAUUCCAAGAGAUGCUGUGUCUGUACGUGGAGCUCAACACUCGAGAAUCGUCUAUUAGCAGGUAUCUGGAUGGAAGCUCCUAUUCCGAGUACAGUCACAUGCCAUGUUUAUUAGCUACAAAGCCCAGAAUUCCCCUUGCAAGUGAUAAAUUCAGUUGCUUUCUAGUGGAAUAUUCUACUGGAUGCUCUACACUGGCUCUUCUCGUAAAGGUGCUAAUCUUGGCCUUAGUUCAUGCUCUCUUUCUCCCAGUGAAAACUAAAUAAUGCCUUGAGAUUGUGGAGGAGGUGGAUAUGGAAAUUUUGCGAGGUGACAGUUGUUCGGAUAUUGGCAGCAGCUGGUCAAACUCAAUCUAGUUUUCCUGGUUUCACAUGGGAUCCAUAUUCUCAUCUUUCGAGUCAUCCACUGAAAUGAUGGAUUCUAAAUUCCUUGCAGUUCAACUCAACUGACAGGUUCAGAUAAUUUAUGACAAGCUCUUAUAUAUGGAAAACAAAAUAGAGUCAUUAUUUAUUCCGUGCUAUGGGCUCUGGCAUCCCAAUGGUGUCUUGCCAUGGCAUAAUACCCUGGGCUCAAGAAUGUCUCAAGUUAUAUGUAAUAAUGGCCUUCGAUUUGCUCAGUGAUGUGAUCAGUCGAUUUUGGAUAUGGGGGACCUAAUCCAAUCGACAUUGGUUUUACCCAGGUUGAUAGAUUUGGAGCUGAUCUCGUCUGCUAUUCGGAGCCCUAUUUGGGAAAAUUUCAAGACAGGAUCCUGGAAUACCACUGGCAAGCUCCUAGAAUGUGUGAAGAAACUUGUGAUGAAUAGUCUGAUUUCUCCUUAUAGCACACAGAUGUAGUUCACAAAUUUAUCAACCCAAGACUCGUGAGCCACCUACGCACGUGCAUAUAGCACUGAAUAUCUGAAUAUAUCAAGAAUCAUAAUAUUAAUGUCUUCCGGCUAUUUUCAAUUUUGAUUAUGAAGUGUCAGAAUUGACAAAAUCACCGGGCUUGUGGACUAGUGAGUUGGCCAGGCUGCAUGAUACGGGUGAAGCCAUUUGGUGAAGCGGCUCGGCCCAGCCAACCUUGAGGCUAAGCAAGUGUCUCAUGAAGAUCGUAGAAGGUCGAACCCAAAUCUUUGGUGCUCACCAAUCUUGGCUAUAGCUAUGCAAGUCAAGUUUUAUUAAAUUGGGAAAUCUAUAGGUGUUCCUUAUAUCAUAUUUAAAUCAUCAGUCUGCCACUCUGCCUUCAAGUGCUUAAAUUUAUUUUAUUUAAAGUAUCAUUGAGCUUUUGUGAGAUUGUUGGCAAAGGAAAGAUAUUAUUAUUUUUGGGGGAAUAAAGACCAUGGCCUUUUUUAUU
RNA transcript from Olea europaea var. sylvestris, 12760 nucleotides. RefSeq lists it as uncharacterized. The record is from RefSeq and is a predicted model, not a curated record. The transcript is spliced from 17 exons. NCBI's taxonomy places the organism in Eukaryota, Viridiplantae, Streptophyta, Magnoliopsida, Lamiales, Oleaceae.